This 302-nucleotide ribosomal RNA is filed under the name uncultured bacterium. RNAcentral describes it as "bacterial SSU rRNA". It matches the Rfam family "Bacterial small subunit ribosomal RNA", at positions 28 to 330 of the family's 1533-position model. The record is from RNAcentral.
GACGAACGUUGGCGGCGUGCCUAAUACAUGCCAGUCAACUGAAAUACCGGUAGCAAUACUGGUAUGGAGGUGGCGCACGGGUGAGUAACACGUAGGUAAUCUGCCUUCAGGUCUGACAUAACCCAUCGAAAGGUGAGCUAAUAUCAGAUGAUGCAGCGGCUUGACAUCAAGACAGUUGUUAAAGCUUCGGCGCCUGAAGAUGAGCCUGCGUCUGAUUAGCUAGUUGGCGGGUAACGCCACCAAGGCUGCGAUCAGUGCUGGUCUAGAGAGGAUGAUCAGUCACACUGGAACUGAGACACGGU